Long non-coding RNA from Oncorhynchus mykiss (rainbow trout), 1034 nucleotides. RefSeq lists it as uncharacterized. NCBI's taxonomy places the organism in Eukaryota, Metazoa, Chordata, Actinopteri, Salmoniformes, Salmonidae. The record is from RefSeq and is a predicted model, not a curated record.
AGUGCAUUCCUAGCUCCCCUUGCACUAAGGCAGGCUGAGGCAGAGGGGAAGACAUUUUAGUCUUGUGCUCUUCUAGUUGCUAAAGCGCUGGGCUGCCGGGCUGUGGGAGUCAUGAGGCGGCCCUGCUUCACUCGAUAUGGGCUCAUGGGGAGAGAACCAUGGAUGUGCAGGUCUAGGCCCUUAGAGCAGUGAGUGGGAAAGGGGUAGCGAGCAAAACACCAGCGUUCAGCGAGCAGCUUGAACGGUGGCACGCUGAAGUAAGAGCACUGGCUUUUGGAAAAACCUGCGGACUACCGGGCGAGCAAAGAGAGAGAGACAGCCUACCGCUGUGUCGGUCGAGCAGAGAGCGGGAUCUCCGGCGGCUGAAGAGUGGUUCUUGAAUCGGCCAGAUACUGUUCCAUCCUCUUUUCUGCCAAUCAAGCAAAGAUGAGGACAACACCCAAACUGGCACGAUAACAGCGCCGUAUAAGAAGAGGACCCAAUUGUUCCAAAAGGCCUUGAUUUUGCUCCGCCGCGGUCCGCGCGGAGGCUGCGGCAGCUGUGGACAGCAACAGGUGAGAAAAGGUGAGAGGAACCUGCUGACAUCCAUAUGACCAAGACGAGACCUGUCUGUCCAGGAGACAGAGACCACACCAGAUAUGGUGUCCUUCUGAUGUUCUUGAUGCACGUCCAAGGGUACUCGUCCGUUGAUGGGUGAUGGAGAUGAGGUUCCUUCUGCUAUAACCCUGGCCUCCAAGAACAGCUUCAAAGACAGGACCUAAGGAGAGAUCAGUCACGCAAAACACAUCUACACACCACUGCUUCUGCUGCAAAUGUGAGGGCAUGAUCUGUCUCUGUGAAGACAAAACAAUAUGUACCCUGUGAAAUUCUCAGAACAUGGUUAAUUUUGAAACUGUUACAACUGAAACAACGAAACUUUUUACCAAUAGAGGUUAUGCUGCUUAUGAUAUGAACUGUAUCGUCCAUUGAUAUAUUGGAUUUCAUGAUGUUACAUAUCUUCAAUCUGUGAUCAUAUUAAAUCAAUGAAAUCAUGG